This 21-nucleotide microRNA is filed under the name Callorhinchus milii (elephant shark). RNAcentral describes it as "eshark_NOVEL_28". The record is from RNAcentral. Lineage: Eukaryota; Metazoa; Chordata; Chondrichthyes; Chimaeriformes; Callorhinchidae.
UGAGUUCAAAACACGCACUGA